GACGAACGCUGGCGGCGUGCUUAACACAUGCAAGUCGAGCGGUAAGGCCCUUUCGGGGGUACACGAGCGGCGAACGGGUGAGUAACACGUGGGUGACCUGCCCUCAGCUCUGGGAUAAGCCUGGGAAACCGGGUCUAAUACUGGAUAUGACUCCAUGACGCAUGUUGUGGGGUGGAAAGCCUUGUGCGGCUGAGGAUGGGCCCGCGGCCUAUCAGCUUGUUGGUGGGGUGACGGCCUACCAAGGCGACGACGGGUAGCCGGCCUGAGAGGGCGACCGGCCACACUGGGACUGAGACACGGCCCAGACUCCUACGGGAGGCAGCAGUGGGGAAUCUUGCGCAAUGGGCGAAAGCCUGACGCAGCGACGCCGCGUGAGGGAUGA
RNAcentral lists this ribosomal RNA (382 nucleotides) under uncultured bacterium. Its description in RNAcentral is "bacterial SSU rRNA". It matches the Rfam family "Bacterial small subunit ribosomal RNA", at positions 28 to 411 of the family's 1533-position model. The record is from RNAcentral.